AGUGAACGCUGGCGGUAGGCCUAACACAUGCAAGUCGAACGGCAGCACAGUAAGAGCUUGCUCUUACGGGUGGCGAGUGGCGGACGGGUGAGGAAUACAUCGGAAUCUACUUUUUCGUGGGGGAUAACGUAGGGAAACUUACGCUAAUACCGCAUACGACCUACGGGUGAAAGCAGGGGAUCUUCGGACCUUGCGCGAUUGAAUGAGCCGAUGUCGGAUUAGCUAGUUGGCGGGGUAAAGGCCCACCAAGGCGACGAUCCGUAGCUGGUCUGAGAGGAUGACAAGCCACACUGGAACUGAGACACGGUCCAGACUCCUACGGGAGGCAGCAGUGGGGAAUAUUGGACAAUGGGCGCAAGCCUGAUCCAGCCAUACCGCGUGGGUGAAGAAGGCCUUCGGGUUGUAAAGCCCUUUUGUUGGGAAAGAAAAGCAGCAGGUUAAUACCCCGCUGUUCUGACGGUACCCAAAGAAUAAGCACCGGCUAACUUCGG
This 491-nucleotide ribosomal RNA is filed under the name uncultured bacterium. RNAcentral's name for it is "partial 16S ribosomal RNA". It matches the Rfam family "Bacterial small subunit ribosomal RNA", at positions 29 to 506 of the family's 1533-position model. The record is from RNAcentral.